This 404-nucleotide ribosomal RNA is filed under the name Fusobacteriota bacterium. RNAcentral describes it as "Fusobacteria bacterium partial 16S ribosomal RNA". It matches the Rfam family "Bacterial small subunit ribosomal RNA", at positions 355 to 776 of the family's 1533-position model. Lineage: Bacteria; Fusobacteriati; Fusobacteriota. The record is from RNAcentral.
UGGGGAAUAUUGCACAAUGGAGGGAACUCUGAUGCAGCGACGCCGCGUGAGUGAUGAAGGAAUUCGUUUCGUAAAACUCUGUUCUAUGGGAAGAAAAGGACUGUACCAUAGGAGAAAGUUGCGGCUAAAUAAGUGCCAGCAGCCGCGGUAAUACGUAUGGAGCGAGCGUUGUCCGAAAUUAUGGGGCGUAAAGGGUGCGCAGGCGGCUUUACAAGUUGGAUGUGAAAUAUUGUGGCUCAACCACAAACGUGCAUCCAAAACUGCAAAGCUUGAGUUAAGGAGAGGUAAGUGGAAUUCCUUGUAUAGCGGUACAAUGCAUAGAUAUCAGGAGAAAUACCGGUGGCGAAGGCGACUUACUGGACUUAAACUGACGCUCAGGCACGAAAGCGUGGGGAGCAAACAGG